CCCCGAAGAGGGGGAUAACCACUGGAAACGGUGGCUAAUACCCCAUGUGGUCCCGCAUUCGUUUGCGGGAUUAAAGGCUCCGGCGCUUCGGGAGGGGCCUGCGGCCUAUCAGCUAGUUGGUAGGGUAAUGGCCUACCAAGGCUAUGACGGGUAGCUGGUCUGAGAGGACGGACAGCCACACUGGCACUGAGACACGGGCCAGACUCCUACGGGAGGCAGCAGUGAGGAAUAUUGCGCAAUGGGGGAAACCCUGACGCAGCAACGCCGCGUGGGCGAAGAAGGUCUUCGGAUCGUAAAGCCCUUUUCUCUCGGACGAGGAAGGACGGUACGGGAGGAAUAAGCGUCGGCUAACUACGUGCCAGCAGCCGCGGUAAAACGUAGGACGCAAGCGUUAUCCGGAUUUAUUGGGCGUAAAGGGCGUCUAGGCGGCGUCUUAAGUUGGGCGUGAAAUCUUCCGGCUCAACCGGAAGGGUGCGUCCAAUACUGGGACGCUUGAGGACAGCAGAGGGAGGUGGAAUUCCCGGAGUAGCGGUGGAAUGCGUAGAUAUCGGGAGGAACACCAGUGGCGAAGGCGGCCUCCUGGGCUGUACCUGACGCUGAAGCGCAAAAGCGUGGGGAGCAAACGGGAUUAGAUACCCCGGUAGUCCACGCCGU
RNAcentral lists this ribosomal RNA (654 nucleotides) under uncultured bacterium. RNAcentral describes it as "bacterial SSU rRNA". It matches the Rfam family "Bacterial small subunit ribosomal RNA", at positions 129 to 803 of the family's 1533-position model. The record is from RNAcentral.